This 560-nucleotide ribosomal RNA is filed under the name uncultured Chaetothyriales. RNAcentral describes it as "eukaryotic LSU rRNA". It matches the Rfam family "Eukaryotic large subunit ribosomal RNA", at positions 69 to 654 of the family's 3401-position model. Lineage: Eukaryota; Fungi; Ascomycota; Eurotiomycetes; Chaetothyriales. The record is from RNAcentral.
CUGGGAUUACCUCAGUAACGGCGAGUGAAGCGGUAAAAGCUCAAAUUUGAAAUCUGACUUCGGUCCGAGUUGUAAUUUGCAGAGGAUGUUUUGGGCACCGAAUCAAUUUAAAUUUCUUGGAACAGAAUGUCAAAGAGGGUGAGAGUCCCGUCUUGAAUUGAUUUAGGACCCGUGUAAAACUCCUUCAAUGAGUCGAGUUGUUUGGGAAUGCAGCUCUAAAUGGGUGGUAAAUUUCAUCUAAAGCUAAAUAUUGGCCAGAGACCGAUAGCGCACAAGUAGAGUGAUCGAAAGAUGAAAAGAACUUUGAAAAGAGAGUUAAAUAGUACGUGAAAUUGUUGAAAGGGAAGCGUUUAUAACCAGACGUGGGUUGUCAGGUUCCCCCUACCUUUUGGUGGGGUUAUUCCUGUCGAUUCAGGCCAACAUCAGUUUUGGUGGUGAGUUAAAGGCUUUGAGAAUGUAUCUACUUCGGUCGACUUAUAGCUCAGAGUGUCAUGUCACCUACCGGGACUGAGGCAUGCGUUUACACGGAUGUUGGCGUAAUGGUUGUCAACGACCCGUCU